GCAGUCGAGCGAACAGAUAAGGAGCUUGCUCCUUUGACGUUAGCGGCGGACGGGUGAGUAACACGUGGGUAACCUACCUAUAAGACUGGGAUAACUUCGGGAAACCGGAGCUAAUACCGGAUAACAUUUGGAACCGCAUGGUUCUAAAGUGAAAGAUGGUUUUGCUAUCACUUAUAGAUGGACCCGCGCCGUAUUAGCUAGUUGGUAAGGUAACGGCUUACCAAGGCGACGAUACGUAGCCGACCUGAGAGGGUGAUCGGCCACACUGGAACUGAGACACGGUCCAGACUCCUACGGGAGGCAGCAGUAGGGAAUCUUCCGCAAUGGGCGAAAGCCUGACGGAGCAACGCCGCGUGAGUGAUGGAAGGUUUCGCUCGUAAACUCUGUUUUAGGGAGGACAAAUGUGUAGGAACUGUGCACGUCUUGACGGUACCUAAUCAGAAAGCCACGGCUAACUACGUUCCAGCAGCCGCGGUAAUACGUAGGUGGCAAGCGUUAUCCGGAAUUAUUGGGCGUAAAGCGCGCGUAGGCGGUUUCUUAAGUCUGAUGUGAAAGCCCACGGCUCAACCGUGGAGGGUCAUUGGAAACUGGGAAACUUGAGUGCAGAAGAGGAAAGUGGAAUUCCAUGUGUAGCGGUGAAAUGCGCAGAGAUAUGGAGGAACACCAGUGGCGAAGGCGACUUUCUGGUCUGUAACUGACGCUGAUGUGCGAAAGCGUGGGGAUCAAACAGGAUUAGAUACCCUGGUAGUCCACGCCGUAAACGAUGAGUGCUAAGUGUUAGGGGGUUUCCGCCCCUUAGUGCUGCAGCUAACGCAUUAAGCACUCCGCCUGGGGAGUACGACCGCAAGGUUGAAACUCAAAGGAAUUGACGGGGACCCGCACAAGCGGUGGAGCAUGUGGUUUAAUUCGAAGCAACGCGAAGAACCUUACCAAAUCUUGACAUCCUUUGAAAACUCUAGAGAUAGAGCUUUCCCCUUCGGGGGACAAAGUGACAGGUGGUGCAUGGUUGUCGUCAGCUCGUGUCGUGAGAUGUUGGGUUAAGUCCCGCAACGAGCGCAACCCUUAAGCUUAGUUGCCAUCAUUAAGUUGGGCACUCUAGGUUGACUGCCGGUGACAAACCGGAGGAAGGUGGGGAUGACGUCAAAUCAUCAUGCCCCUUAUGAUUUGGGCUACACACGUGCUACAAUGGACAAUACAAAGGGCAGCUAAACCGCGAGGUCAUGCAAAUCCCAUAAAGUUGUUCUCAGUUCGGAUUGUAGUCUGCAACUCGACUACAUGAAGCUGGAAUCGCUAGUAAUCGUAGAUCAGCAUGCUACGGUGAAUACGUUCCCGGGUCUUGUACACACCGCCCGUCACACCACGAGAGUUUGUAACACCCGAAGCCGGUGGAGUAAC
Molecule: ribosomal RNA, 1395 nt
Filed under: bacterium
Lineage: Bacteria
Description: bacterial SSU rRNA
Rfam family: Bacterial small subunit ribosomal RNA
Source: RNAcentral